AUGGCCGUCAGCCGCAGAACUCCCGACGUCUUCCCGCUGAUCUCCUGCGACGCCGACGGCUGCACCGACAGCGUCACCUUCGGUUGCUUGGUCAGCGAUUUCUUCCCCGAACCCGUCACCGUCACCUGGGUCUCCAAGGUGGGAGGAGAAACCGAGACCUUUCCGGUUGUAGUGGACAACGGCAGCUACUACACCCUCAGCAGUCAAUUCACCGUCCCCGCCGACAGCUUGAGCGGCAACACCUUCCAGUGCAGGGUUGACCACAGCGCCACCAGAACCGUCACCAAGGACAUCUCAGGUGAUGACGUAUGUCGUCCUGAUGAGCCCGACAUAAAGCUCCUGAGCGACCCAAACAAGUACCACGAGGAGGAGAAGGUCCUGCUGCUGUGCCUCGUCGAGGGGAACCGAGCCGGCGACGCCCGCGUGCAAUGGCUGAAGAACCACGAAGUGGUGGACCUGCACCAGGAGGACACCACCUGCAACACGUGCUCCAGCGACAAGGCCACGUUCAGCAGCCGGGUCAACGUCACCCAGGAGAGCUGGGACCACGGGGCCGAGUACUCUUGCAAGGUGACCCACCCGUCGCUGAAGGCGCCGGCCAUCGUCAACAUCAGCACCUUCUGCUCAGAUACCAAACCGGCGGUGGAGGUCACCAUCCUCCCGCCCUCCUUGGAGGACCUCUACCUCAGCCAGAACGCCAGCCUCACCUGCGUGGCCACCAACCUGAAGUCGCACGAGGACGUGAAGUUCUCCUGGAGCCGGGAGAACGGCAACGCCUUGGAUGUCACCUCCGGGCCAGCGGAGAAGUUGGAGAACGGGCUUUACCGCCUCACCAGCACCCUGAAGAUCUGCGCCGAUGAGUGGAACUCCGGGGAGAAGUUCACCUGCGCCGUCACGGUCCCCGAGCUCGGGCAGCCAAUCACCAAGUCCAUUAAGAAAGACAUAGCCGCCUCCGUGAAGGCGCCUUCCGUCUACGUCUUCCCGCCGCCGGCUGAGGAGUUGGCCCGUCAGGAAACGGCCACCUUGACCUGUUUGGUCUUGGGGUUCCGGCCUCGGGACAUCUUGGUGACCUGGACCCAAGAAGAUCGUCCCGUUGCCCCCGGUAGCUUCACCAUCUUUGGUCCCAAAGAAGAAGGAGAUACCUACACCGCUUACAGCAAGUUGAGCGUGCCGGCAGCCGACUGGCAACGCGGCGACAGCUUUGCCUGCGUGGUUGGCCACGACGGCAUCCCCAUGCACUUCGUGCAGAAGAACCUGGACAAAGCCCUCGGUAAACCCACCGCCGUCAACGUCUCGGUGAUCCUCUCCGACUCCGACGUCACCUGCUACUGA
This is a non-coding RNA of Nipponia nippon (crested ibis), 1332 nucleotides long. Lineage: Eukaryota; Metazoa; Chordata; Aves; Pelecaniformes; Threskiornithidae. The record is from the annotation of a RefSeq genome assembly.